This 254-nucleotide ribosomal RNA is filed under the name uncultured bacterium. Its description in RNAcentral is "partial 16S ribosomal RNA". It matches the Rfam family "Bacterial small subunit ribosomal RNA", at positions 524 to 776 of the family's 1533-position model. The record is from RNAcentral.
UACAUGUGGGGCAAGCGUUGUUCGGAAUUAUUGGGCGUAAAGAGCUCGUAGGCGGUUUGUCGCGUCGGCUGUGAAAACUCGGGGCUCAACCCCGAGCCUGCAGUCGAUACGGGCAGACUAGAGUGCGGUAGGGGAGACUGGAAUUCUUGGUGUAGCGGUGAAAUGCGUAGAUAUCAAGAGGAACACCUGAGGUGAAGACGGGUUGCUGGGCCGACACUGACGCUGAGUGCGCGAAAGCCAGGGGAGCAAACGGG